This 483-nucleotide ribosomal RNA is filed under the name uncultured bacterium. Its description in RNAcentral is "bacterial SSU rRNA". It matches the Rfam family "Bacterial small subunit ribosomal RNA", at positions 30 to 507 of the family's 1533-position model. The record is from RNAcentral.
AUUGAACGCUGGCGGAAUGCUUUACACAUGCAAGUCGAACGGCAGCACGGACUUCGGUCUGGUGGCGAGUGGCGAACGGGUGAGUAACAUAUCGGAACGUAUCCAAUAAUGGGGGAUAACUAAUCGAAAGGUUGGCUAAUACCGCAUACGCCCUGAGGGGGAAAGCGGGGGACCGUAAGGCCUCGCGCGAUUAGAGCGGCCGAUAUCUGAUUAGCUUGUUGGUGGGGUAAAAGCCCACCAAGGCGACGAUCAGUAGCUGGUCUGAGAGGACGAUCAGCCACACUGGGACUGAGACACGGCCCAGACUCCUACGGGAGGCAGCAGUGGGAAUUUUGGACAAUGGGGGCAACCCUGAUCCAGCAACGCCGCGUGAAUGAAGAAGGCCUUAGGGUUGUAAAGUUCUUUUGUCAGGGAAGAAAGUUUCUGUGCUAAUACCAUAGAACGAUGACGGUACCUGAAGAAUAAGCACCGGCUAACUACGUG